RNAcentral lists this non-coding RNA (30 nucleotides) under Homo sapiens (human). Lineage: Eukaryota; Metazoa; Chordata; Mammalia; Primates; Hominidae. The record is from RNAcentral.
UGGGAAAACACAGGAUCCACGGAAAUGGGC